RNAcentral lists this ribosomal RNA (301 nucleotides) under uncultured bacterium. RNAcentral describes it as "partial 16S ribosomal RNA". It matches the Rfam family "Bacterial small subunit ribosomal RNA", at positions 509 to 809 of the family's 1533-position model. The record is from RNAcentral.
CAGCAGCCGCGGUAAUACAGAGGGUGCAAGCGUUAAUCGGAUUUACUGGGCGUAAAGGGCGCGUAGGUGGUUAUUUAAGUGAGAUGUGAAAGCCCCGGGCUUAACCUGGGAACUGCAUCUUAUACUGGGUAACUGGAGUGCAGUAGAGGGUAGUGGAAUUUCCGGUGUAGCGGUGAAAUGCGUAGAUAUCGGAAGGAACACCAGUGGCGAAGGCGGCUACCUGGACUGAGACUGACACUGAGGCGCGAGAGCGUGGGGAGCAAACAGGAUUAGAUACCCCGGUAGUCCCUGUCUCUUAUAA